This is a long non-coding RNA of Orcinus orca (killer whale), 1981 nucleotides long. RefSeq lists it as uncharacterized. The record is from RefSeq and is a predicted model, not a curated record. The transcript is spliced from 3 exons. NCBI's taxonomy places the organism in Eukaryota, Metazoa, Chordata, Mammalia, Artiodactyla, Delphinidae.
GAGAUGGGAUGCGGGGGGCUUGGAGGGGAAGCUGGUACAAGAGUCCAGAGGAGAGACAAUGGGUUCCAGUGGCAGAGGGGCUGAAGGAGAGAAGGCCCGAUAGCAUGGGAGAGGCUGUGGACGCAACUGCUGAGGAAGGGGAAGCAGAAGAAGGUGCUGAAUGACGUGAGUCCGGGAGGCUUCCUGAAGAAGCAUCAGGGCAGAUCUGGGAGAAGACGCUUUGAGGAAUAUCAAGUGCCGUGGAGUUAUUUGGAGAAGCGAGAGGGUCUUCAGAGCCAGCCGGCCCGAGAGUGUCCACCUGUGGAACCGGAGCUGGAGCCAGAGGCAGUCAAACCAGGAGCUCAUCCAUCAGCUGAGCCCAGGCUGGAGCUGGGAAAGAAGACCACAGGGUCAUCUCCACCAGGAUGUCCCCUACCUACAUACCUCAAAUUCAACAUGUCCCAACUAAAUCCAGCAGCCGCCAUCCUCUUGAGCCUGCACUCCUUCCAGUGUCUCUUCUCUCAAUGGAUGGCAUCACUACAUCCCCACCAGAAUCCUGGAGGCAUCCUCCACACCUUUCUCCCCUGAUGCCUAUUACAACCAAUCAACCACCAAGUCCUUCCCACCCUACUUCCAACACAGGCUGAAUUAAUCCACUUUGCUCCAUGGUUUCCACCUUGGUCUCGGCAUCACCAUCUGUUGCCUGUGGUUGUCUCCUCCGCUCUUCUUGCUUCCACUCUGCCCCCCACCACCAGCCUGUUUACCCAUAAGGUAGUCAGAAGGAGUGUUUGCCAAGACAAAUCAGAUCACAUCACUGCCAUGCUCAGAAAUCCCAGGAGUCAACAAUAAAAUUCAAGAGCCUGUAGGAUCUCACCUUGCUCUCCUCCUUCCCUGCCAUGUUGAGUGUGCCAGGCCAUCUUCUGCUCCUGAGCCUUGCCCAGACCCAAGCACUUGUCCUUUCACCCUUCACCUGGCUAACUCCUCCUCAACCUCUGGAUCUCAGGUUAUACAUCAAUCUAUAUGUGUCCUUUAGGAUGUAACUCAGGUGUCACCUCUUCCCUGGGAGUCUUCCUGAAUUUCUCUCCACCCCCCCCACCCCAGUCUAGGUCAGAUGCCCCUCCUGUGGGCUCUGCUCCCCCCUCUACCACUGUCCUCCAUUGCCCUGUGGAUCUCUGUAUCAUAUCAUUCAUCCUGGAUUGUACAUACUUGGGUAUUUAUUUGUUUCUUCCACUAGACCAGGGGUUGGUGAACUACAGUCCACAGGCCAAGUCUGGCCUACUGCCUGGUUUUGUAAAUAAAGUUUUAUUGGAGCACAGUCAUGGCUAUUCCCUUACAUAGUGUCUAAGGCUGCUUUCACACCACAGAGGCAGAGUUGACUGCAAAGCCCCAAAUAAAUACUAUGUGGCCCUUACGGAAAAGGUUCCUGACCCCUGCUCGAGACCAUGUGCCCCCACGAGGGCAAGGACAGCGUCUGUCUGGUUCACUGCUGGGCCCUCAGCGCCCAGCACAAUGGCCACUGGUUGGCAGGUGGUUGAGAAAUGUUUGUCAAAUCGCGUUCGAAGCAUAUAUGGUCACAGAGGAAGUCUGAGGCCCCUCUAGGGUCCCUGGAUCCCCAAGUAGGCUGUGACUUUUGGUUCCUAGUUCUCUGUCCCCAGGGGAAAAGAAUGAGGUCAGAUUCCAAGGGAUCAAAGAGGCUGUGUCACCAUUGACCUCCUGAGGGGCUCAGGGGAAGACAGCAGGACCCUGGGGCUGCUCUGAAGGAGGCUCCACCCUUGUAGAGGUUGUUUGCUUCCACCUCAAAGCUGUCCCUGACGCUAAAGCAGUCGUUCUCGAUCAAGGGCUACUUUGUUCCGCAGGGGAUAAUUUCCAAUGCCUUGAGACAUUCUUGCUUGUCACAUAUGAGGGACUGGGGAGGGAGGUUAACUGCUAGUGGCACCUAGUAAGUAGAGACCAGGGAUUCUGCCAAGCAUCCCACAAGUGCACAGGACAGCCCCACACAACA